RNAcentral lists this ribosomal RNA (1147 nucleotides) under Leptolyngbya sp. PCC 73110. RNAcentral's name for it is "bacterial SSU rRNA". It matches the Rfam family "Bacterial small subunit ribosomal RNA", at positions 122 to 1303 of the family's 1533-position model. Lineage: Bacteria; Bacillati; Cyanobacteriota; Cyanophyceae; Leptolyngbyales; Leptolyngbyaceae. The record is from RNAcentral.
GAACAUGCCUUUAGAUUGGGGACAACAGUUGGAAACGACUGCUAAUACCGAAUGUGCCUUAGGGUGAAAGAUUUAUUGUCUAGAGAUUGGCUCGCGUCAGAUUAGCUAGUUGGAGUGGUAACGGCACACCAAGGCGACGAUCUGUACUUGGUCUGAGAGGAUGACCAGGCACACUGGAACUGAGACACGGUCCAGACUCCUACGGGAGGCAGCAGUGGGGAAUUUUCCGCAAUGGGCGAAAGCCUGACGGAGCAAUACCGCGUGAGGGAGGACGGCUUUUGGGUUGUAAACCUCUUUUAUCAGGGAAGAAUCGAUGACGGUACCUGAUGAAUCAGCAUCGGCUAACUCCGUGCCAGCAGCCGCGGUAAUACGGAGGAUGCAAGCGUUAUCCGGAAUUAUUGGGCGUAAAGCGUCCGUAGGUGGUUUAUCAAGUCUGCUGUCAAAGCGUGCGGCUUAACCGCAUAAGGGCAGUGGAAACUGAUGAACUAGAGUGCGAUAGGGGUAACAGGAAUUCCCAGUGUAGCGGUGAAAUGCGUAGAUAUUGGGAAGAACACCAGCGGCGAAAGCGUGUUACUGGGUCUGCACUGACACUGAGGGACGAAAGCUAGGGGAGCGAAAGGGAUUAGAUACCCCUGUAGUCCUAGCCGUAAACGAUGACAACUAGGCGUGGUUCGUAUCGACCCGAGCCGUGCCGUAGCCAACGCGUUAAGUUGUCCGCCUGGGGAGUACGCACGCAAGUGUGAAACUCAAAGGAAUUGACGGGGGCCCGCACAAGCGGUGGAGUAUGUGGUUUAAUUCGAUGCAACGCGAAGAACCUUACCAAGGCUUGACAUCCUCGGAACCCUGAUGAAAGUUAGGGGUGCCUUCGGGAGCCGAGAGACAGGUGGUGCAUGGCUGUCGUCAGCUCGUGUCGUGAGAUGUUGGGUUAAGUCCCGCAACGAGCGCAACCCACGUUUUUAGUUGCCAGCAUUCAGUUGGGCACUCUAGAGAGACUGCCGGUGACAAACCGGAGGAAGGUGUGGAUGACGUCAAGUCAGCAUGCCCCAUACGCCUUGGGCUACACACGUACUACAAUGCGUCGGACAAAGAGCAGCCAGCCAGCGAUGGUGAGCCAAUCUCAUAAACCGGCGCUCAGUUCAGAUUGCAG